Molecule: ribosomal RNA, 387 nt
Filed under: uncultured bacterium
Lineage: Bacteria
Description: bacterial SSU rRNA
Rfam family: Bacterial small subunit ribosomal RNA
Source: RNAcentral
AUUGAACGCUGGCGGCAUGCUUUACACAUGCAAGUCGAACGGUAACAGGUCUUUCGGGAUGCUGACGAGUGGCGAACGGGUGAGUAAUGUAUCGGAACGUGCCCAGUAGUGGGGGAUAACUACUCGAAAGAGUGGCUAAUACCGCAUGAGAUCUCUGGAUGAAAGCGGGGGGACCGUAAGGCCUCGCGCUACUGGAGCGGCCGAUAUCAGAUUAGGUUGUUGGUGAGGUAAAGGCUCACCAAGCCGACGAUCUGUAGCUGGUCUGAGAGGACGACCAGCCACACUGGGACUGAGACACGGCCCAGACUCCUACGGGAGGCAGCAGUGGGGAAUUUUGGACAAUGGGCGCAAGCCUGAUCCAGCAAUGCCGCGUGCAGGACGAAGGCC